RNAcentral lists this ribosomal RNA (253 nucleotides) under uncultured bacterium. RNAcentral's name for it is "partial 16S ribosomal RNA". It matches the Rfam family "Bacterial small subunit ribosomal RNA", at positions 524 to 776 of the family's 1533-position model. The record is from RNAcentral.
UACGGAGGGUGCAAGCGUUGUUCGGAUUUAUUGGGCGUAAAGCGCGUGUAGGCGGCCCGCUAAGUCUGAUGUGAAAGCCCGGGGCUCACCCCCGGAAGUGCAUUGGAGACUGGCGGGCUCGAGUCCCGGAGAGGAGGGUGGAAUUCCUGGUGUAGCGGUGAAAUGCGUAGAUAUCAGGAGGAACACCGGUGGCGAAGGCGGCCCUCUGGACGGUGACUGACGCUGAGACGCGAAAGCGUGGGGAGCAAACAGG